Molecule: ribosomal RNA, 458 nt
Filed under: uncultured bacterium
Lineage: Bacteria
Description: partial 16S ribosomal RNA
Rfam family: Bacterial small subunit ribosomal RNA
Source: RNAcentral
CCUACGGGAGGCAGCAGUGAGGAAUAUUGGUCAAUGGGCGAGAGCCUGAACCAGCCAAUUCGCGUGAGGGUGUACUGCCCUAUGGGUUGUAAACCUCUUUUUUCGGGGAGCAAAAGCCGGACGUGUCCGGCUGUGAGAGUACCCGAAGGAAAAGCAUCGGCUAACUCCGGGCCAGCAGCCGCGGUAAUACGGAGGAUGCGAGCGUUAUCCGGAUUUAUUGGGUUUAAAGGGUGCGCAGGCGGAUUUUUAAGUCAGCGGUAAAAUCGUGGGGCUCAACCCCAUCCAGCCGUUGAAACUGGGGAUCUAGAGUGUGCGAGAGGUAUGCGGAAUGCGUGGUGUAGCGGUGAAAUGCAUAGAUAUCACGCAGAACCCCGAUUGCGAAGGCAGCAUACCGGUGCACAACUGACGCUCAGGCACGAAAGCGUGGGUAUCGAACAGGAUUAGAUACCCCGGUAGUC